AGAGCAGCGCGCGGGGCAGACCUCCUCGGGUCCUCCGGCGCUUCGGUCUCCGGAGACGCCCGGCCUCCUGAAGGGUUCGGCUUGUCCUCCUCUGGCGCUCAGCUCCCUCUGGCGGCCGGGCUGGCAGGACCUCAGCGCCCAGCCCUUCCGUCUUGUUACGUCCAGGGUCUCACUCUGUGUCUCAGGCUGGAGUACAGUGGUGCAAUUGUAGAUGGCUGCAGCCCUCGACCUCCUGGGCUCAAGUGAUCCUCCUGCCUUAGCCUCUCGAGUAGCUGGGAGUACAGAUGCACACCACCACACCCAGCCUAGAAUGAAGAAACCUGCAGUUGGGAAGCAUGAAUUUACCACCUAUUAAGAAGUAGUCAUCAGGCAUGACCUCCCAUGGGUGCUCACAGAAGAUGGUGCCGUGCAUGUGCAGAACUUCCCAGGCCAAGAUCCACCACAUUGGACCCACUGAGUGAGCCCCCUUGUCAUUGCAUGAGAUGGUGAUGAUCACAUAGCGUAGAGGAGAGUAUGUGUGACACAGAGCAAUGGUAGUCAGUUUAACAUACGAUAGCCCUGUGAAAGGUGUGUGGUCAGCCCUGGGAUCAGUAACCAUCAGAAGACAUGGCUCCCAGAAGGCUACCUGGAUCUGGUUAGCAAAGGAACCAGAAAUAAGAGUGGCUCCAGUGGCAGCAGCAAACUUCAGCAUAGCCUGCUGGCUGACAUUCCUGGAGGAUGUGACACUGACAGCAGCUGAGUUUCCAAAUGGCAACAAUGGCACAAGCUGCCAGCCAAAGCUUCUUGCAGGUCCUCUUCAGAUUUAUCAUGUAGAUGCCAUCACUUUUCCUUUUGUAGUGUAUCAUUUGGAAGUCAAGGUGGGUGCCACCUAAGUGGAUUCCUGCUGGAAGGAAUGUGAGGACAUUCUCCUCCUUCAUCUUCAGGGCAUAAAGGGCUCCAAACAUUGUGAAAGUUUCUCUUUAAAUUACGACAUGCUGUAUGGAUCUCUGACUGGGGAACAUGGACAAGUACACUCAAAGUUUGAUUGCUAGUAUAGCUCACUCUUCUGUGGCUAGAAGUCCUGAAGAAUAAAACGUUAAGCAAGUUAUUAUGCUGACUACAACACCCAGGCUUAGGAACUAGUGAGCAUAAGACCUCAAAUUUCUUUCUGGCUCUCAUUAUGAAAGUCAUGAUUGUUUCCCUUGCAUCAUCCUCUGCAUGUGGCUUUUCAUCUUACAUUCUGGCUUUGCUCCAGGAGACACACUGCCUUAUGCCAGGGACCUGGUGGAAAGGUCACCCCCAGAAUGGACAGGCUGGGAAGAGCUCACUUAACAGUGUAAGUCCUUAACUGCAUUUCUUCAAGCGCCAUCUUAAUGGCAUAUAAGCAAAAGUGAAAAAUUCCAAAGGGGACUAAAAUUUAGAUUUUGGCCUGAUAGUAUAACUAGAAGGUUUUUUUGCUUUGAAUUACCAUAAGUAGGAGUGAGUGAGUUUCUGUCAUUCCCCUACCGAAUAAAAUAUUGAAUUUAUGAUGAAUAGUUGUUAAAUAGAGUGAUCUGGACUUAUUCUUUCCAGCCUAGUGAGACCCAUCCCAACCUUUUACAGACAGUUUCUUUAAAUAUAGCAUGAGAAACCUCAGUGUCCUCUGGAGGGUUUUGUAAAUGGAUGCCAGCCCAGUCUUUAUUAAACUGGGCUUGUAUGUCAUAUAAUUGCCUGUCUUGACAUACCUCUUCCAGGCUUUGCUGGAAGGGUUUGUUAAGGAUUCUUUUCUGCUG
Homo sapiens (human) is the source of this 1751-nucleotide long non-coding RNA. Ensembl annotates it as long intergenic non-protein coding RNA 466. NCBI's taxonomy places the organism in Eukaryota, Metazoa, Chordata, Mammalia, Primates, Hominidae. The record is from Ensembl.